This 387-nucleotide transfer-messenger RNA is filed under the name human gut metagenome. It matches the Rfam family "transfer-messenger RNA". Rfam says of the family: Bacterial tmRNA, also known as 10Sa RNA or SsrA, is named for its dual tRNA and mRNA-like properties. The record is from RNAcentral.
GGGGACGAUUUUGGUUUCGACGGGGAUUAAAACAAAAUAUACAAAGCAUGUGGUGGUCGCCCAUACACCUUAAACAUGAGCAAGCGAAAUAAACGCAAACAAUAAUAACAAUGUUGUUGCUAUGGCUGCGUAGUUAGUCAUCUCAAUAACGACUUGAUUGAAAUUUUCAAUCUGCUCUCCUUUGACUUUGCCAGUUGAAGACCAGAGUAUCAUCUUAGGCAAAAAUUUUGUGACAAGUUGUCCUUGUAGUCGCAAAAAAUUUUAAGGAAUUGUUUUCAAAACCUGUUUAUGGGUGACUUGAAAAUGAAAUUUAAACAUAAACUAAACAUGUAGAAAAAUAUUCUGUUUUGUUUUCGGACGAGGGUUCAAUUCCCUCCGUCUCCACCA